RNAcentral lists this ribosomal RNA (116 nucleotides) under Verrucomicrobiales bacterium. Lineage: Bacteria; Pseudomonadati; Verrucomicrobiota; Verrucomicrobiia; Verrucomicrobiales. The record is from RNAcentral.
UCUGGUGACCCUAGAGACGUGGCACCACCCGUUCCCAUCCCGAACACGGCAGUGAAACGCGUCAUCGCUGAUGGUAGUGGGGCGAUAGGCCCUGUGAGAGUAAGUCGUUGCCAGUA